Molecule: small RNA, 953 nt
Filed under: Pongo abelii (Sumatran orangutan)
Lineage: Eukaryota; Metazoa; Chordata; Mammalia; Primates; Hominidae
Description: retained intron
Source: RNAcentral
UCAGCUCCAUGGCCUUCUAGAGUGAGGCCUUUGUGCCUCCCUGGACGUCACAGCUGCUGAGAUGGUGGCAUCCAGCCCGCUGUGGGACCUAGGGGACUACCACUGCCCUCUGUGCCCUCUGUCCCUCUGUCCCCUUGGCUUGGUACACGCUGUCUCACUUGGGUCUCUGUAGGACACGGUCCUGGGCACCUGUGCCCCAGAGGUGCCUGCUGCAGCCUCACAGCCCACCUUCCUGCCCUGGGUCCCUGAGCGUGGGGGUGGCGAGUUGGAGCUGGUAGUGCGGGAGCUGCAGGCACUGGAGGAGGAGCUGCGGGAGGCUGUGGAGCGCAGGCGGGCAGCCUGGGAGGCCAAGGCUGGAGGCUGUGGACGGGGGCCAGAGUGGAGUGCUGCGCGGCGGGCCUCUCGGGAGGCUGUGGAAAAGGAGCUGGGAGCUCUACAGCAGUGCUGGAAGCAAGACAGUGGCCCGGCCCGGCCCCAUGGGCCACACCGGCUGGUGAGACGAGAGGAUGGGGCAGCAGGGGAACGGGACCUGCGGGCAGCUGAGGUGAUCAGGACGCUGAGGAGCCAGGAGGCCUGCCUGGAGGCAGUGCUACGUCGACUACAGGGACAGUGUCGGCAGGAACUGGCCAGGCUGGUGGGAGCCCUGCCUGGCCUCAUCUGGAUCCCGCCUCCUGGACGCUGAGGGCCCUCGUGUGGGAAGCCUGCCCUGGCCCAGCCUGGCUGGGUCUUAGAGGAGCAGAUUCCAAGGCCAGGUGGCCGCAGGGACGAUGCAGAUGCAGAGCCCACGUCACAUGCUCGCUCCAGGGGUGGGGCUGGGCUGACUCUGGCUGGAGCCCAGGCCUGUGGCCAGCAGCACUGGGGACAGGAAUGGCCGGUCCCUUGAGGAGGUCGUGACAGGCUCAGCCUGGUGGUGUGGAGGGGACUCGGAAAUAAAUUGUAGCGGCUUUCCUGCC